Molecule: ribosomal RNA, 850 nt
Filed under: uncultured Pseudomonas sp.
Lineage: Bacteria; Pseudomonadati; Pseudomonadota; Gammaproteobacteria; Pseudomonadales; Pseudomonadaceae
Description: bacterial SSU rRNA
Rfam family: Bacterial small subunit ribosomal RNA
Source: RNAcentral
UACAAUGCAGUCGAGCGGAUGACGGGAGCUUGCUCCUUGAUUCAGCGGCGGACGGGUGAGUAAUGCCUAGGAAUCUGCCUGGUAGUGGGGGACAACGUUUCGAAAGGAACGCUAAUACCGCAUACGUCCUACGGGAGAAAGCAGGGGACCUUCGGGCCUUGCGCUAUCAGAUGAGCCUAGGUCGGAUUAGCUAGUUGGUGAGGUAAUGGCUCACCAAGGCGACGAUCCGUAACUGGUCUGAGAGGAUGAUCAGUCACACUGGAACUGAGACACGGUCCAGACUCCUACGGGAGGCAGCAGUGGGGAAUAUUGGACAAUGGGCGAAAGCCUGAUCCAGCCAUGCCGCGUGCGUGAAGAAGGUCUUCGGAUUGUAAAGCACUUUAAGUUGGGAGGAAGGGCAGUAAGUUAAUACCUUGCUGUUUUGACGUUACCGACAGAAUAAGCACCGGCUAACUCUGUGCCAGCAGCCGCGGUAAUACAGAGGGUGCAAGCGUUAAUCGGAAUUACUGGGCGUAAAGCGCGCGUAGGUGGUUCGUUAAGUUGGAUGUGAAAGCCCCGGGCUCAACCUGGGAACUGCAUCCAAAACUGGCGAGCUAGAGUACGGUAGAGGGUGGUGGAAUUUCCUGUGUAGCGGUGAAAUGCGUAGAUAUAGGAAGGAACACCAGUGGCGAAGGCGACCACCUGGACUGAUACUGACACUGAGGUGCGGAAGCGUGGGGAGCAAACAGGAUUAGAUACCCUGGUAGUCCACGCCGUAAACGAUGUCAACUAGCCGUUGGAAUCCUUGAGAUUUUAGUGGCGCAGCUAACGCAUUAAGUUGACCGCCUGGGGAGUACGGCCGCAAGGUUAA